This 253-nucleotide ribosomal RNA is filed under the name uncultured bacterium. Its description in RNAcentral is "partial 16S ribosomal RNA". It matches the Rfam family "Bacterial small subunit ribosomal RNA", at positions 524 to 776 of the family's 1533-position model. The record is from RNAcentral.
UACGGGGGGGGCAAGCGUUGUUCGGAAUUACUGGGCGUAAGGGGCGCGUAGGCGGCCAACUAAGUCGGAUGUGAAAUCCCCAGGCUUAACCUGGGAACUGCAUCCGAUACUGGAUGGCUUGAAUCCGGGAGAGGGAUGCAGAAUUCCAGGUGUAGCGGUGAAAUGCGUAGAUAUCUGGAGGAAUACCGGUGGCGAAGGCGGCAUCCCGGACCGGCAUUGACGCUGAUGAGCGAAAGCGUGGGGAGCAAACAGG